This 224-nucleotide ribosomal RNA is filed under the name uncultured bacterium. Its description in RNAcentral is "partial 16S ribosomal RNA". It matches the Rfam family "Bacterial small subunit ribosomal RNA", at positions 15 to 230 of the family's 1533-position model. The record is from RNAcentral.
GAUCCUGGCUCAGGAUGAACGCUAGCUAUAGGCUUAACACAUGCAAGUCGAGGGGCAGCAUGGUCUUAGCUUGCUAAGGCCGAUGGCGACCGGCGCACGGGUGAGUAACACGUAUCCAACCUGCCGUCUACUCUUGGACAGCCUUCUGAAAGGAGGAUUAAUACAAGAUGGCAUCAUGAGUUCACAUGUUCACAUGAUUAAAGGUAUUCCGGUAGACGAUGGGG